This 300-nucleotide ribosomal RNA is filed under the name uncultured Rhizobium sp. RNAcentral's name for it is "bacterial SSU rRNA". The stretch from base 61 to 300 matches the Rfam family "Bacterial small subunit ribosomal RNA", at positions 556 to 795 of the family's 1533-position model. The record is from RNAcentral. Lineage: Bacteria; Pseudomonadati; Pseudomonadota; Alphaproteobacteria; Hyphomicrobiales; Rhizobiaceae.
GGAAAGUGUGGGCUAGGCGCGUGGGUAAUAUGGAGGUUGCAGUGAUUAAGUGGUGUGUCGGGGAGUAGAGCGUGGGUAGGUGGCUAAUGAGGGCAGAUGUGGAUUGCCGUGGCUUAACUUGGGAAUUGCAUGCGAGACGGGUGAGCUAGAGUAGGGGAGAGGAUGGUAGAAUUCCAGUUGUAGCGGUGAAAUGCGUAGAGAUCUGGAUGAAUACCGAUGGCGAAGGCAGCCAUCUGGGCUAAUACUGACACUGAGGUGCGAAAGCAUGGGGAGCAAACAUGAUUAGAUACCCGUGUAGUC